AUAUGGAGCUCCUGAGCCAGGGAGCACAUCAGAGCCACAGUCUCAACCUAAGCGCAGCUGCCGCACUGCCAGAUCCCGAACCCACCGUGCCAGGCCAGGGAUCAAACCCCUGUCCCACUGGCUCCCAAGAUGCUGCUGAUCCCAAUGCACCACAGCGGAAGCUCCGAAAAUGAUGCCAUUCUUGAGGCUCCAUUAGGAAAGAGAGAACUCGGAUUUCUACCAAGAAUGGGGAAGAAUAAAAGACCAAAGCACUGCCAAGCAUUUUGUCAACAAAGGCUAUUUUAAGGUUUAUUUUUGAAAUGUUCACUAAGAAAAGAAUAUACAGUUUGGGAAAAGACACAAAGCAGACAUACGCAUCAAGAUGUAUGUGCUUUGGAAGGAGCCAGACUUAGGUGUGAAUGGGUGCUUCCUUAUUACAAAUUCCGCGCCUUGACCAAUGCAUUAAGCUCUCUGCUCUUUGGUGCUUUUUUAUGUAGAAAAUGGGGAAUUGUGAGGCUAAAAUGGGGAAAUGAAGAUAAAAGACCUGCCUUGAAUGUAACAGACAUUCAACUGUUAUGAGUUCCAUUUCCUCCUCUCCUGGCUUCCUGAAAGUGGCAUAUGUGCCGUAUUCCUCUUGCAAAUAGGGACUCUAUAGAAUUCUGAAACAUCUUUGUCUUUCAACAUAUUGAUAUUUCCCCAAAUCCGUUAACACAAGUGUGAACAGAUUUUUUAAUCGUCACAGCAGCAUGCUUACCUUGGAAUAAGACGUCAAUGCAGAAAGAUCAAAGCCACAUUAUUCAUCACCACUGGUUGUCCAAAAAAGCAACUUAGUAUUAACUGAUGGGUUUGAAAUAGCAGCAUGCAACACAGCUACUUAUUAAUCCAUUAGGCCUAAGGGUCUGCACCCACAUACUUGGUCAUGUUUUGUUUGAAAAACAAGUUUUGCUUUCAGCCUUGGAAACAACUUACAUGAAGACCAGACGGCAUAUGGUUCCAGUUAAUUAAAAAUUUCCCAGGAAAAUACACCAACUAAAGAAGUCCUUUGCCACCCAAUUCAAGGAUUGAGUCAUCGGCCACAGAAGUCACUGACCUUCAACACACCCUCGAAGGAUUUCGGGGCAGAAUCAGGAAUGGGGCAUUUUGUGCUCUGGGAAAACUGGUAGAACAGGCCUUCGGAUAAUUAGAUUAUUUCCAGGAGAAAUUUUAUGAACUAAAUUUCUUGCAUCUUCCCAUACUUAGAAAGGCAUUAAAACCAUUAACUAAGACAUAUAUUCCUGGACUAGCAGCAACCUUCUACAAGAUGUGUGCUUGGGGAGUUCCCAUCAUGGCUCGGCAGAAACGAAUCUGACUAGCAUCCGUGAAGAUGCAGGUUCAAUCCCUGGCCUUGUUAGUGGGUUAAGGAUCCAGCAUUGCCAUGAGCCACGGGGUAGGUUGCAGACGUUGCUGUGGCUGUGGGAUGGGCCAGCAGCUACAGCUCCGAUUCAACCCCUAGCCUGGGAACCUCCUAUGUGGUGGGUGCAGCCUAAAAAGCAAAAACAAAACAAAACCAAAAACAGUGUGCUUAACUGCAUGUACUACCCAUUCUCCAAAAUCACAUAUAUAACUGACCUCUCCUCCUGCCCCUUCAGAGCAGUUCCAAGCUAUCAGACAGGCUGUCUCCUAGGCUACAGUCCUCAGUGAGUCCCCAAAUAAAGCAAACUCACAGCUUUCAUAUUGUGUUUCAAUUUCAGUCUACCAAUAUAUAGAUAAAUUACGUACUGAGUUAAUACCAAAAAAUCAGUAAUGGAAUAUCCAUUUCUGGUCUUCUUUGGUAAAAGAAAAUCAUUCAAAUCCUGGGUGUGCAUUUUUUUGGAAAUGAUACCCUUUCAAACACCCUGAUUUCCAAAACGUUUCACAACGUUACAUGAUCAAAAGCAAGGCUUUGGUUAUUUGGCUGUAAGCUCUAAGACGGUCAGAGGUUUCUGGAAGCAAGUUCUAACCACAGUGCCCUGUGACAAGCUGAUGCCUGCUGUUCGUGUGAAAUGCUGGCUAAUCUUCCUUCACUAUCCAGACCACUGCCUGCUCCUGGGGGAGGAGUACGAGGCUCAGAGGCAGAGUAGUUCCCAAUCCCCACUCUCCUAAGGGCAAACAACCCCUCUGUUUUUUUCCUGUCUUCUCUCCCUUCUGGGAAGACAGGGGUAAUGAGACCUAAGGAUGCACGUGCUUACGCUCACACUGAAAUGGAAUAUCCAAUUCCACCCCCUCACAAUCCAGGCUAAAGGUGUUCUACCCUCUUUGCAAUCGACUUCUUCAAAGAGCAAAUUAUGGUGCAGCCCAAUCCGGCAACAGAAUUGCACUGGGACACGGAGCUCAAGUGUGGUGUCCUCCUCGAGACAAAGAGCUUGACAGUGACCCGGGCUGGAAGUUUUGCUUCACCCAUUUAUUUGCCAUCACUAAGUAAACAGAAUGAGAAGCAUAAUAGUACUUCACUGCAUUGAAUCAUGGGACCAAAGGGGGAUUCUAGCCCAACUUCCCAUCCAAAGGGAGAGAGCCUUCUGUAACAUUGCUGCAUCACUCUGCCUUGACCCCUCCCUUGACAGAAACAAGGCACCCCAUUGCAUAGUCUGUUAAAGAUGGUUUUUUAGGAGUUACCUGUUGUGGCUCAGUGGGUUAAGGACCCAACACAGUCUCUGUGAGGAUGCAGGUUCCAUCCCUGGCCUCAUUCAGUGGUCUAAGGGUCUGGUGUUGCCACAAAGUGCAGCGUAGAUCACAGAUGUGGCUCAUACAUAUCUGGUGUGGCUAGGGCACAGGCUGCAGCUGUAGCUCUGAUUCAACCCUUAGCCUGAGAACUUCAAUAAGCUGCAGGUGCAGCCAUUACAAACAAAAAGACGGUUUUUUGUCUUAGACUUUUGUCUCCCUAGGACACACGUCACGGGUCCUCAGGCUGCCCUCUGUCACUACAGAAAACGAGAUGAACCAUUUCUUUCGCAUUGGAACCAUCACCGCUCCCAUCUCCCACCCACCAAGUAUUUUCUCCUCCAGCAAAACAGUCACAUUUUUAUCAGCCAUUUCUUAGGUGGUCCCCAGCAUCACAGACCCAACUCAGAUGAUACUUCAGUUCAUCUGUGCUUCCCUGAAAACGGUGCUAGAUCUAAAGACAAGUCUGCCGGGCGCAGGAGAGCAGGAGGCAAUGACCUCCUCUGCCUUCGACACCCUGAAACUCUUAAUGCUGUCGACUGCACCCCAACUUUGGGGACACCCGCACCUCUUUAGAGCACUCAGGGCUCUGACCGUUUCCUAGGACUCUGGUGUGGUCGGAAUGGUGGGCAAGCUGGGCUCCCUCUUUUCUGAGCAGGACUCCUUUGCUUCCUUCAGCUGAAAUUCAGGACUUGAUGGUUCUUUAUUAUUAAAUUACCUCAUAGUAGUAUUGACACACGAGCCUCGUCUUUUGAGAUAUUUCUGGGGCAUGACUGUUAUUUGAUGUGUUUGGCUGACUUUUCCUCCGCUGCGGCAUAUCCAGAGGUUGCACAGACCUGUGAAUUCUGUCCUCACCCAAGUAAGCCACACAGGGAGAUGUACUAAGAAGAAGGUCAGGGGUACUGAGGUCUUCUCCAUGGCUUGAUGCUAAAUUGUUCAUGAAUUGGCAUUUCUGGGACCAAAUUUGCCAAGUGACUGCAAAUCCCCUAACUAUCCGGCCAUGUCUACAAAUCCCCGUAACUACCCAGUCAUCCCCAACCCCGUCAUUGUAAUUGCUCUACCAUGUCCAGUUCCAUCUUUGUCAAAUUCUCCUGGAUCCUCGUUUAAAAGGCAGCUUUUAGAAGCUCCACUUUACAGAGAAUGGAAUCAGAAUAUCUAGAGAUGAGCCUGAUAAUCUGCACAUGUCACAUUCCCCAGGGCUGCUUUCACAUGUUCAAGUUUAAGAUUCCACCCCACUACCCCCACCACUGAUGUAGCCAGUGUCUGCAACUCUCCUUAUCUCACCUUGAACAUCUGUAUAUGUGUGAUGCAGCAGAGAGGGUCUGGAGCCAAAACCUUCUUUCACUAUCCUAGGCCUAUGGUUUUCAAAUAGUGGUCCUCAGACCUGCAGCAUCAACAUUACCAGGGAGUUGUUAGAAACGUAAAUUCUCAGACCCACCACAGACCUGCAAUCCAUUUAAGCAAGUCCUGCAGGUGAUUUUGAUGCAUAGCAAUCCAAUGUAGCAAGUUCUGCGGGUGAUUUUAAGAACUCUACCAUAGGUGAAUACUUCACCUGUGGCAUAGAGCCUUGAAUCACCUGGUGUCCUUACAUCAGGAGACUGGAGGAGACUCUGGGUUUUUUUCUGAGGAAGAUUCUGUCCUGUUUCUUAGCUUCUCUUUUAAGCCAAAGAUAGCAAAUACCAGAUACCUGGGCUUCCAGUCCCCGCUCCCACAGUUGAUUAUCACAGCAAGCCCUCUCUAUCAGCUCUCCAGAAAACUAGAAGACAGAGUUGGCUGGACAGAUCCUAUCCUGCUACGGUCCACACGGGCGUGGUGGGGCGGGCAGAGGUCCGUGCAUCCCCUCGUUCCGAUCGGGAGCCUGAAUCUCAUGAGACAUUCACUGUGAUCUGGUCACAGGAGUCACCACCUAGGGAUCUACCCUUGAUCCUCAACACAAAGCAUCUGCUCUCCAGGCGCUUGGAAACAGAACGUUAAACCUUUGUACUGUGUAGACUUUACAGAGCAGUGGAUCUCAACUCUGACUGCAUAGGGGAAUUAUGUGGGGAAUUAUCUGAAAUGCUGAUGACCAGGCCCGGUCCCAGACCUAUUGUGUUGGACUGUGGGGUGCGGUCAGGCUUCGGUAGUCCCAUAACCUCCACAGGUGAUUCUGGUGCAGAAACAGGGUUGAGAGCCACCAGCGAACAAUCAAAAACUAUGUGCACCUCGCUCAAGUCAGAUUAUCAGAUGGACAAGUUGAUGGAACUGCACUGUUCUGAUCUCUGAAGAACUGCUUUUUUUCCUGCUGUCCUCCGGAGUUGUGUCAUUCUUGACCGACAAUGAAAGAGAUUAUACAUAUAGAUAACCAACCAAUCAACCCACCCAAGGGUACUGGGAAAUUCUGUAGAGUCGUGUAAUGAUGAGGACUAUAUACAGGCUCUGCAUUGAAAUGCCCAGGUUCAAAGCCAGCCUUACUGAGUGACUUUAGGCAAGUUUUCAAUCUCUCUAAUCCUCAGCGUUUCACUUGACAGAUGGAAAUAAUUAAAGGAUCGCCCCUAAGAGGUUGUUAGGGUGAUUUGAUGAGCAAAUCCACAGAAAGCAUAGAAAAGGUGACAGGGCAGUCAGAUCUCAGUGAGUAAAUCAGUAAGAAUGUAGAUCAUUGCAUGACAAUAUCACCAUGGCUGCUUUCCUCUUUUAAUCAGAAAAAUAAAAGGGAUAUAUACAAAUAUACAUAUCCCUACUACCCAAAUUAGUAGGUCUCAUCCUUGUAUAAACAUAUAUACCUACUAUUUUUCUGGCUUUUAAAAAACCUUGAAUAACAUAGUAUCAAACCAUACAUUUCUAUCUGAGGUUGACCUAUUUUCAGCCAAAAUUAUCUCACACACACACACACUUCAUUCCUAGCACGUAUUUCCAUG
This 5549-nucleotide long non-coding RNA is filed under the name Sus scrofa (pig). RNAcentral's name for it is "lncRNA (ENSSSCG00015059032.1)". Lineage: Eukaryota; Metazoa; Chordata; Mammalia; Artiodactyla; Suidae. The record is from RNAcentral.